CUACGGGUUGCAGCAGUGAGGAAUAUUGCACAAUGGGGGAAACCCUGAUGCAGCAACGCCGCGUGGAGGAUGACGCAUUUCGGUGUGUAAACUCCUUUUAUAUGUCAAGAAAAUGACGGUAGCAUAUGAAUAAGCACCGGCUAACUCCGUGCCAGCAGCCGCGGUAAUACGGAGGGUGCAAGCGUUACUCGGAAUCACUGGGCGUAAAGGACGCGUAGGCUGGUUGGUAAGUCAGGUGUGAAAUCCUACAGCUUAACUGUAGAACUGCACUUGAAACUACCAACCUAGAGUAUGGGAGGGGGAGAUGGAAUUAGUGGUGUAGGGGUAAAAUCCGUAGAUAUCACUAGGAAUACCGAAAGCGAAGGCGAUCUCCUGGAACAUAACUGACGCUAAGGCGUGAAAGCGUGGGGAGCAAACAGGAUUAGAUACCCUCGUAGUC
Molecule: ribosomal RNA, 439 nt
Filed under: uncultured bacterium
Lineage: Bacteria
Description: partial 16S ribosomal RNA
Rfam family: Bacterial small subunit ribosomal RNA
Source: RNAcentral